GCAAGUCGAACGCAGUAGUAAUACUGAGUGGCAAACGGGUGAGUAUAAUGUGGGAAUCUGCCUUUUGGUUUGGAAUAACACGGGGAAACUUGUGCUAAUACCGAAUAAGCCCUUACGGGGAAAGUUUUAACGCCGAAAGAUGAGCCCGCACUUGAUUAGCUAGUUGGUAAGGUAAAAGCUUACCAAGGCAACGAUCAAUAGCUGUUCUUAGAGGGAGACCAGCCACAUUGGGACUGAGACACGGCCCAGACUCCUACGGGAGGCAGCAGUGGGGAAUCUUGCACAAUGGGGGAAACCCUGAUGCAGCGAUGCCGCGUGAGUGAAGAAGGCCUUUGGGUCGUAAAACUCUUUCGUCGGGGAAGAAAAUGACUGUACCCGAAUAAGAAGGUCCGGCUAACUUCGUGCCAGCAGCCGCGGUAAUACGAAGGGACCUAGCGUAGUUCGGAAUUACUGGGCUUAAAGAGCUCGUAGGUGGUUAAAAAAGUUGAUGGUGAAAUCCCAAGGCUCAACCUUGGAACUGCCAUCAAAACUUUUUAGCUAGAGUGUGAUAGAGGUAAGUGGAAUUUCUAGUGUAGAGGUGAAAUUCGUAGAUAUUAGAAAGAACACCAAAUGCGAAGGCAACUUACUGGGUCACUACUGACACUGAGGAGCGAAAGCAUGGGUAGCGAAGAGGAUUAGAUACCCUCGUAGUCCAUGCCGUAAACGAUGUGUGCUAGACGUUGGAAAUAUAUUUUUCAGUGUCGCAGCGAAAGCAUUAAGCACACCGCCUGGGGAGUACGACCGCAAGGUUAAAACUCAAAUGAAUUGACGGGGACCCGCACAAGCAGUGGAGCAUGUGGUUUAAUUCGAAGAUACGCGCAGAACCUUACCAACACUUGACAUGUUCGUCGCGAAACUAAGAGAUUAG
Molecule: ribosomal RNA, 907 nt
Filed under: uncultured marine bacterium
Lineage: Bacteria
Description: bacterial SSU rRNA
Rfam family: Bacterial small subunit ribosomal RNA
Source: RNAcentral